This 566-nucleotide ribosomal RNA is filed under the name Penicillium glabrum. RNAcentral describes it as "eukaryotic LSU rRNA". The stretch from base 190 to 343 matches the Rfam family "5.8S ribosomal RNA". Lineage: Eukaryota; Fungi; Ascomycota; Eurotiomycetes; Eurotiales; Aspergillaceae. The record is from RNAcentral.
UGCGGAAGGAUCAUUACUGAGUGAGGGCCCUCUGGGUCCAACCUCCCACCCGUGUUUAUUGUACCUUGUUGCUUCGGUGCGCCCGCCUCACGGCCGCCGGGGGGCUUCUGCCCCCGGGUCCGCGCGCACCGGAGACACUAUUGAACUCUGUCUGAAGAUUGCAGUCUGAGCAUAAACUAAAUAAGUUAAAACUUUCAACAACGGAUCUCUUGGUUCCGGCAUCGAUGAAGAACGCAGCGAAAUGCGAUAACUAAUGUGAAUUGCAGAAUUCAGUGAAUCAUCGAGUCUUUGAACGCACAUUGCGCCCCCUGGUAUUCCGGGGGGCAUGCCUGUCCGAGCGUCAUUGCUGCCCUCAAGCACGGCUUGUGUGUUGGGCUCCGUCCCCCCGGGGACGGGUCCGAAAGGCAGCGGCGGCACCGAGUCCGGUCCUCGAGCGUAUGGGGCUUUGUCACCCGCUCUGUAGGCCCGGCCGGCGCCAGCCGACAACCAAUCAUCCUUUUUUCAGGUUGACCUCGGAUCAGGUAGGGAUACCCGCUGAACUUAAGCAUAUCAAAAGGCCGGAGGAA